This 253-nucleotide ribosomal RNA is filed under the name uncultured bacterium. RNAcentral's name for it is "partial 16S ribosomal RNA". It matches the Rfam family "Bacterial small subunit ribosomal RNA", at positions 524 to 776 of the family's 1533-position model. The record is from RNAcentral.
UACGUAGGGCGCAAGCGUUGUCCGGAAUUAUUGGGCGUAAAGAGCUCGUAGGCGGUCUGUUACGUCUGCUGUGAAAACCCUGGGCUUAACCCUGGGCUUGCAGUGGAUACGGGCAGACUAGAGGCAGGUAGGGGAGAAUGGAAUUCCCGGUGUAGCGGUGAAAUGCGCAGAUAUCGGGAGGAACACCGGUGGCGAAGGCGGUUCUCUGGGCCUGACCUGACGCUGAGGAGCGAAAGCGUGGGGAGCGAACAGG